UCCGGGCGGGCCACAAGCACCUUGGCUUGAAGGCCCGGGACCAUUCCUGACAAGGGUGACUCUCAGGCUGGCCAGGUCACAACCAGUGUUACCCAAGUCCCUGCCUGGGUCCCAGGAGAUGCCACAGGAAGACCAACGCCACCACUGCCUGGACAGGGGAGUCUAGAGACCCGGGAAGAAGAGCAAGUGACCACCCCCACCGACGUGCUGGUGACCCUGGGCCCCCCAGG
Myotis lucifugus (little brown bat) is the source of this 230-nucleotide long non-coding RNA. RefSeq lists it as uncharacterized. The record is from RefSeq and is a predicted model, not a curated record. Lineage: Eukaryota; Metazoa; Chordata; Mammalia; Chiroptera; Vespertilionidae. The transcript is spliced from 4 exons.